UGCGUAGGCUGUGCGGUAAGUCAGAGGUGAAAGGUCCGCGCUCGACGCGGGAACUGCCUUUGAUGCUGUCGUGCUGGAGUGCGGAUGCCGUUGGAGGAAUGAGUGGUGUAGCGGUGAAAUGCAUAGAUAUCACUCAGAACACCGAUUGCGAAGGCAUCUGACGAAUCCGUAACUGAGCUGAGGCACGAAGCGUGGGGAUAGAACA
Molecule: ribosomal RNA, 205 nt
Filed under: uncultured bacterium
Lineage: Bacteria
Description: partial 16S ribosomal RNA
Rfam family: Bacterial small subunit ribosomal RNA
Source: RNAcentral